This 251-nucleotide ribosomal RNA is filed under the name uncultured bacterium. Its description in RNAcentral is "partial 16S ribosomal RNA". It matches the Rfam family "Bacterial small subunit ribosomal RNA", at positions 524 to 776 of the family's 1533-position model. The record is from RNAcentral.
UACGUAGGGGGCUAGCGUUGUCCGGAAUCAUUGGGCGUAAAGCGCGUGUAGGCGGUCCGGUAAGUCCGCUGUGAAAGUCGGGGGCUCAACCCUCGGAUGCCGGUGGAUACUGCAGGGCUAGAGUCCGGAAGAGGCGAGUGGAAUUCCUGGUGUAGCGGUGAAUGCGCAGAUAUCAGGAGGAACACCGAUAGCGAAGGCAGCUCGCUGGGACGGUACUGACGCUGAGGCGCGAAGCGUGGGGAGCGAACAGG